CCUACGGGUGGCAGCAGUCGAGAAUCAUUCACAAUGGGGGAAACCCUGAUGGUGCGACGCCGCGUUGGGGAAUGAAGGUCUUCGGAUUGUAAACCCCUGUCAUGUGGGAGCAAAUUGAACAGAUAGUACCCCAAGAGGAAGAGACUGCUAACUCUGGGGCAGCAGGCUCGGUACUACAGAGGUCUCAAGCGUUGUUCGUAAUCACUUGGCGUAAAGGGUGCGUAGUCUGUUUCGUAAAUCGUGUGGGAAAGGGUCGGGCUCAACCCGCGGAGGGCAGAUGAUACUGCGGGACUAGAGUAAUGGAGGGGGAAGCGGAAUGCGUGGUGUAGCAGUGAAAUGCGUAGAUAUCGAGAGGAACACUCGUGGCGAAGGCGGGUUCCUGGACAUUAACUGACGCUGAGGCACGAAGGCCAGGGGAGCGAAAGGGAUUAGAUACCCCAGUAGUC
This 446-nucleotide ribosomal RNA is filed under the name uncultured bacterium. RNAcentral's name for it is "partial 16S ribosomal RNA". It matches the Rfam family "Bacterial small subunit ribosomal RNA", at positions 338 to 795 of the family's 1533-position model. The record is from RNAcentral.